Molecule: long non-coding RNA, 883 nt
Organism: Cyprinus carpio carpio
Lineage: Eukaryota; Metazoa; Chordata; Actinopteri; Cypriniformes; Cyprinidae
Source: Ensembl
GAUUUGUCGCAUGGAUGCAUUUCUCAGGACACAUUUCCUGUUUGUGUCAGAUGAAGUCAGUGAGGCCUGGUGUCAAUGACGCUCUGGAUCUUCACACACCUGCCGGAGAUCCAGCAUCACACCUCGCAGCCCCAGAGUCGGACUGUGACCCAGAGUGCUCUGUCUCCUGGCCCAUGUCUCAUGUUGAUUGGUGGCCUCGUGUUGCCCGCUGAUCCAUUGUGAUGUCAUAUGUCUGUGCUGCUACCGGUUCCAUGGUAAACAGCCACUGAGGGAAGCUACAAAACCAGAAAGAUUCAUCUAGUCACAGCCCAGAGAUGAUGCAUCACGUACCACACAAGAAUUUGUUCUUACUUGAAUCAAAUAACUUUUAUAAAGUUAUUUUAAAUAAAAAUAAACAGAGGCCUCAGGGUUGUGGCUGAGUCCGUCCAGCAUGGAAAUUUCUUGGGAAAAAAAAGGUGAAAAAUGGGGCUGUAAAGUCGUGGUGGCAGUGCUGCAGUCCUGUGCUGCUCCCCUGAGCAAUUCCACAGCCUCUCAAACACAGAAGCAGCAUUUCAUGAAGAGAAGGUCAUAUUCACAGAGAAAGGGAUUUUGCCUUCUGGUCAAUCAAUGAGCAUCAAAUGAGAUGGACAGCACCCAUUUCCUGUUGUUCCUCACCUUCUGCAUAUAAAUCACACAGAUGCUGUCGCACCCUUGAGAUGAUGCCCUCAAAGGCGGCUCAUCUUCGAUUUGUUGUGGUUGUAGUGUUGCGUCGUGUUCUGGAGCCAUUCAAUCAAGAAUGAUGAGAAUGGCUCUUAACUCUUAAAAUGACAAACUUAUUUUACAACAUUAUGAUAAAUGUACUACUAUUCUUCCGUGUACACUUUCCCAAUUAAACAAAUUGCUC